CUACAAUAGGAAUGAUGACGGGGUAUGAAAAUUAAAAAUCUAUUUAGUCCGUCAGUUAGGUAAUGAAAAAAUAUUAGACACGUAUUUUUUUAUUUUGUCAUAUAAGAUAACAAUACUUAAAUAAAACGAAUCAAAGUUUAGUUGAGGUAUAAAACGUACCUAGAAGUGACAUCACGCGAUAUUUCAAAUCGAUAUAUCUUCUAAAGUAUUUGUUUCCGUAAGAAAAUAAAAAAUACGUGUCUAUAAAAUAUUUUAAAAUAAUCUACAAGACGGACAUUAAAAUAAAAAUUAGUCAUCAUCAUUAAAUACAUUACGUACGAUACACAACCAUAUUUUAGGAUAUUUUAAACAAAAACAAAAGAAACCGUCACGCCUUAUAAUCGUAGUCUGUGACCUCAGUAUGAGUUUGCUUAAUUUUAAAGUAAUCGAAACGAGAGCGCGUUCGUCGCUCCGAUUGGGUGGUUUAUUCAAGUUGGCCAAUCAGAGCACCGAACGCGCUUUCAUUUCGAUUACUUUAAACGUAAAGUAAACUCGUAUUAAAGCCUCGUAUUCAUGGUAAACAUUUUGUUUAGCAACAUGGUUGCAUAAACAUGUUGCGGGCAACACUUGUGUUGCGGAGUUGAUCGCGCCAUGCUGCAGAGUUGACGCCCGGCGAGCGAAAACAUCAGUUUAUAUUA
Spodoptera frugiperda (fall armyworm) is the source of this 677-nucleotide long non-coding RNA. RefSeq lists it as uncharacterized. NCBI's taxonomy places the organism in Eukaryota, Metazoa, Arthropoda, Insecta, Lepidoptera, Noctuidae. The transcript has 2 exons. The record is from RefSeq and is a predicted model, not a curated record.